This 816-nucleotide ribosomal RNA is filed under the name uncultured organism. RNAcentral describes it as "SSU rRNA". It matches the Rfam family "Bacterial small subunit ribosomal RNA", at positions 642 to 1473 of the family's 1533-position model. The record is from RNAcentral.
UGAGUGCAGUUGAGGCAGGCGGAAUUCGUGGUGUAGCGGUGAAAUGCUUAGAUAUCACGAAGAACUCCGAUUGCGAAGGCAGCCUGCUAAGCUGCAACUGACAUUGAGGCUCGAAAGUGUGGGUAUCAAACAGGAUUAGAUACCCUGGUAGUCCACACGGUAAACGAUGAAUACUCGCUGUUUGCGAUAUACUGCAAGCGGCCAAGCGAAAGCGUUAAGUAUUCCACCUGGGGAGUACGCCGGCAACGGUGAAACUCAAAGGAAUUGACGGGGGCCCGCACAAGCGGAGGAACAUGUGGUUUAAUUCGAUGAUACGCGAGGAACCUUACCCGGGCUUAAAUUGCAGAUGAAUUACGGUGAAAGCCGUAAGCCGCAAGGCAUCUGUGAAGGUGCUGCAUGGUUGUCGUCAGCUCGUGCCGUGAGGUGUCGGCUUAAGUGCCAUAACGAGCGCAACCCUUGUUGUCAGUUACUAACAGGUUUUGCUGAGGACUCUGACAAGACUGCCAUCGUAAGGUGUGAGGAAGGUGGGGAUGACGUCAAAUCAGCACGGCCCUUACGUCCGGGGCUACACACGUGUUACAAUGGGGGGUACAGAGGGCCGCUACCACGCGAGUGGAUGCCAAUCCCCAAAACCUCUCUCAGUUCGGACUGGAGUCUGCAACCCGACUCCACGAAGCUGGAUUCGCUAGUAAUCGCGCAUCAGCCACGGCGCGGUGAAUACGUUCCCGGGCCUUGUACACACCGCCCGUCAAGCCAUGGGAGCCGGGGGUACCUGAAGUGCGUAACCGCGAGGAGCGCCCUAGGGUAAAACUGGUG